Molecule: ribosomal RNA, 402 nt
Filed under: uncultured bacterium
Lineage: Bacteria
Description: bacterial SSU rRNA
Rfam family: Bacterial small subunit ribosomal RNA
Source: RNAcentral
CCAAAUCUUGACAUCCUCUGACCCCUCUAGAGAUAGAGUUUUCCCCUUCGGGGGACAGAGUGACAGGUGGUGCAUGGUUGUCGUCAGCUCGUGUCGUGAGAUGUUGGGUUAAGUCCCGCAACGAGCGCAACCCUUAAGCUUAGUUGCCAUCAUUAAGUUGGGCACUCUAAGUUGACUGCCGGUGGCAAACCGGAGGAAGGUGGGGAUGACGUCAAAUCAUCAUGCCCCUUAUGAUUUGGGCUACACACGUGCUACAAUGGACAAUACAAAGGGUAGCGAAACCGCGAGGUCAAGCAAAUCCCAUAAAGUUGUUCUCAGUUCGGAUUGUAGGCUGCAACUCGCCUACAUGAAGCCGGAAUCGCUAGUUAUCGCGGAUCAGCACGCCGCGGUGAAUACGUUCCC